This 73-nucleotide transfer RNA is filed under the name Paramuricea clavata. It matches the Rfam family "tRNA". From Rfam's summary of the family: Transfer RNA (tRNA) molecules are approximately 80 nucleotides in length. Their secondary structure includes four short double-helical elements and three loops (D, anti-codon, and T loops). Further hydrogen bonds mediate the characteristic L-shaped molecular structure. tRNAs have two regions of fundamental functional importance: the anti-codon, which is responsible for specific mRNA codon recognition, and the 3' end, to which the tRNAs corresponding amino acid is attached (by aminoacyl-tRNA synthetases). tRNAs cope with the degeneracy of the genetic code in two manners: having more than one tRNA (with a specific anti-codon) for a particular amino acid; and 'wobble' base-pairing, i.e. permitting non-standard base-pairing at the 3rd anti-codon position. Lineage: Eukaryota; Metazoa; Cnidaria; Anthozoa; Malacalcyonacea; Plexauridae. The record is from Rfam by way of RNAcentral.
GUCUCUGUAGCUCAGUUGGUUAGAGCGCUGCACCGGAAUCGCAGGGCUGCCGGUUCGAUUCCUACCAGGGACC